Camellia sinensis is the source of this 1993-nucleotide non-coding RNA. The record is from RefSeq and is a predicted model, not a curated record. NCBI's taxonomy places the organism in Eukaryota, Viridiplantae, Streptophyta, Magnoliopsida, Ericales, Theaceae.
UUCAAACCCUAGUUUCUGCAAUGAGCUUCUUGAGGCCCUCUGUGUUGUACCGGUUUUUGUUGGUGACUUACCAUUCACUCCGAUGGAUGCCUUGUCAGAGCUGGGUGUUUCUUCGCUGUCCUAGUCUUGACAGUUUUAUUCGCCUUCUCAUCAUUGUGCUUUUAUGGUCUAUGUUUUCUGAAAUUCGAUACAUUACAUCUUCGUCCAUGUACCCAACUCUUCGUGUUGGUGAUAGGAUCAUCGUUGAAAGGGGUUUAGUGUGGGCCUGUGUUACAUGGACUCUUCUAUUUGCUCCUGAUUACCCGUGUUCACCGGAUACGACAUCAAAUUUGCUAUUAAAGUAAUAUUUUUAGUCUCUCACAUGAAUUGGAUAUCGAAAUUUCAUAUUCUUUUUUUAAACCUAUUUAAUUUCUAGAUAUUUUUACAUAAUUUGCAACAUCUCAUCCGAGAAUAUUAUGUAAUAUGUAAUAUAUAUGUGUAUAUGACUCGUCCCUUUACCCAUAUUCAAUUUCGGAUUUGUAUUUCAAGUUCCUAAAAUUUAAAUUUAUGAAAGUCUGACAAUUGGAUACACACACCCAAUACUCCUACUUGAGUCCAUAUAACAUAGGUAUAUGCACAAUGGCUUGCGGAGUUUGAUGAAUAAUUUUUUCACUUGCUUUAUUGCUUUCCUAAAUUGCUGACCCUGUGUGGGCUGUGAUGAGUUCUAAUUGUUUUUAGGAUUCAAAUGGCAUUUAUUAUCAUUUUGUUGUUUAAUGACAAGAUGUAUAUACUUUGCUUGGAUUUUUCUGUUAAGUUUACUUCUAGUCAAAUUUUAAGUGAUUUCUAUUUAUAGAAUUAUCACACAGGGCCACUAGUUAUUCCUCUUUAUGAUGUUGAAUCCGUAAUCUAUUAGUUCUCUGACCCAAUUUUGUGAACUGAGACUCAAGCAAUCUAAAUUUUCACACAUUUCAACAAAUGCCAAAGGGUUGUUCGUUUGAAAUGAUUCCUACUUCAUAAAAGCAGUAAUUUGUUUUGUCUCCAUCCCUGCAGUAAUUGCAUCUCAUGAGCAGGACGGCACUUUUUAUUCGAAACUAAUUAAAAAAUAUAUGCAACUAUAAUUUAUACUUGGUAGGUACUUUAUGCAUAUUUUUCCGCUCUGCCUUUGGCAGAUUUGUGCUGUGUUUGGCCCUCGUUACUCAUAACUAAUGCUCAAUUGUUAAGACUGUUUAAACGAGUGUGUAUUAUUAAUUAUUAUUAUUAUUAUUUUUAUAGCAUUGAUAGGUUUUUUAGCCAUAUUGGACAUAAUAAUCACUGUUUGUAGGCUUCAUUCAUGCAUUUAUCUACAUGAUUCUUCUGUGUCCCUAUUCUUGUGUGGCAUUAUGUCUUAUAUUGCCAUGAUUCUUGAAGAAUUAUGUAACCUCUCACGCAUUUGAAUUCAUGCAUUUAUCUACACAUUCUUGGUUUGUAUGCUAUGUUUCUUGAUUUGGAUGAUACUUUUCCUGAAAUUGACAUUGAGAUCAGCAAUCACAUGAGACAGGCAUUUAUGUUACAAACAUCCAAUUUCUUCAUUCAAGCACCCAUAUAUAGAGAGACAUUUGGUCAGUGGAAUCUCAUGGAGCUAAAUGACCUGGCAAGAAGUCCAGAAUGACAUCAGUUAGAUUAGUGAGAUGCGGUUUGCUAUUAUAUUAUUUAACUGAAUAAACUACUAAAAUGGUGGAAUAGUAGAAACUUUUGUUGACUCCACAUGCUGUGCAUGGCAUGGCAUUAGCAAUAGAUUUUAAGAAGUCAUGUUUUAUUUUAGCAAUUCGAGAAGAAUCCUUGAAUGGAAACGUGGCACCAAAAUAACAAAGAGUAUGCUUAAUUUGACAUGCUCAAGUUAUGGUAGUUUAGUAAUACUGAUUUUGGUAAUUUUAAACUAAAUCUUAUCAACCCAACUGGAGGCUUGAAGCACCAUUUAUACACCAUGAGAAGCACGAAGACGGACACAAGACGUGACAGAGACACACUAACACAA